RNAcentral lists this ribosomal RNA (429 nucleotides) under Chloroflexota bacterium. RNAcentral describes it as "Chloroflexi bacterium partial 16S ribosomal RNA". It matches the Rfam family "Bacterial small subunit ribosomal RNA", at positions 355 to 776 of the family's 1533-position model. Lineage: Bacteria; Bacillati; Chloroflexota. The record is from RNAcentral.
UGGGGAAUAUUGCACAAUGGGCGCAAGCCUGAUGCAGCCAUGCCGCGUGUGUGAAGAAGGCCUUCGGGUUGUAAAGCACUUUCAGCGGGGAGGAAGGCGUUAAGGUUAAUAACCUUGGCGAUUGACGUUACCCGCAGAAGAAGCACCGGCUAACUCCGUGCCAGCAGCCGCGGUAAUACGGAGGGUGCAAGCGUUAAUCGGAAUUACUGGGCGUAAAGCGCACGCAGGCGGUCUGUCAAGUCGGAUGUGAAAUCCCCGGGCUCAACCUGGGUACUGCAUUCGAAACUGGCAGGCUAGAGUCUUGUAGAGGGGGGUAGAAUUCCAGGUGUAGCGGUGAAAUGCGUAGAGAUCUGGAGGAAUACCGGUGGCGAAGGCGGCCCCCUGGACAAAGACUGACGCUCAGGUGCGAAAGCGUGGGGAGCAAACAGG